AGAGGGGGCAAGCGUUAUUCGGAAUUAUUGGGCGUAAAGGGCGCGUAGGCGGCCUUGUAAGUCUUGGGUGAAAUCCCUCAGCUCAACUGAGGAACUGCCUCGGAUACUGCAAGGCUUGAGGCCGGGAGAGGGUAGUGGAAUUCCCAGUGUAGCGGUGAAAUGCGUAGAUAUUGGGAGGAACACCGGUGGCGAAGGCGGCUACCUGGACCGGUUCUGACGCUGAGGCGCGAAAGCGUGGGUAGCAAACAGGAUUAGAUACCCUGGUAGUCCACGCUGUAAACGAUGGGUGCUCGGUGUCGCGGGUAUCGACCCCUGCGGUGCCUUAGUUAACACGUUAAGCACCCCGCCUGGGGAGUACGGUCGCAAGGCUG
Molecule: ribosomal RNA, 371 nt
Filed under: uncultured bacterium
Lineage: Bacteria
Description: bacterial SSU rRNA
Rfam family: Bacterial small subunit ribosomal RNA
Source: RNAcentral